UUCAGGGAUGGGACAUCCACAACCUCUCAGGGCAACCUACGCUAGUGCCUUCACCGAUGUGUUGGUGAAUAAGUUUGUGGGAGAGGAAGUACACAGCCCAGUAACAGAAUGGACAUACAAUGCUGCGUGGGGUGGGGAAGGGCUCAGAGGUCACUCAGAGGAAUGUGGGCAGACUGGGAAACAAAACCUGACCUGAGAUAUCUGGGAGAAAGGAAUACGAUCCCUCCUCUCAUCAGCAGAAAGCACAAACCUAGGAGGAGUUAACAGGAGCCAGAUGUUCCUGUUAAUUUAUCAAAUAACUUCAAUACAGUAAUCAACUGCAGUUGAGCAGACUGUAGCGGAGUGUUGAUUUGCUAAGCUUGAAGGAAUGGCGUCAAGUUCUCAGAAAGCAUUUCUUUAAAAUGAGCAUUUUGACCUCCUGCUUGUGACCUCCAUUUUGGCAGUGUGAGGCCUUCAAACCCUUUCUCAGUCCUCAGGCCCCUCAUGAAAGCUUGCAGGCCUACAUGGUUGCGGUGAUAAAAAGGUACAUUCAGUUUGGGAUGACACCCUUCCAACCAUGCAUUUCUACACAGGGACAUGGCAUUGGCCUGGGCCAACCAGCUCUACUUGCUCUCAGUCAGAUGUUCUUAGUCUCUGACUUUUAGAAGAAAUUUUCAACAUUUUUACCUCCUCCUUCAGUUUCCCAACCUCUUCCCCCUGAAGCAGCAGCCAACAGAAUUUGUCAGAGUCAACUUUCUGGUUCAGGUAAACUAACUGCAAAUGUGGUGGUCUCACCUGGCUCAGUGCAGAGGGAGCCAUUUUCUGGAGCUUUUAUUUCUGUAUAUUUUCUUCUCUUGCACUGUAAAUUCAGGUGGUUAUUUCAAUUCUGUCAGCAGAAUCAGUUUCUGAUAGGAUUCUUGCUUGCUGUUAGUUAUUCUCAGGAUUCUGCAUUCCUCUGCUGACAUGAUUUGCUCCUUUGCUCUCUGGACCCCAUCCAAAGCCUGUUGAAGCCAAAGAGAACUUUUCCAUUCACUGCAGUAGUAUCUGUAGUAUAUUUCAGAUCGUAUCUGCCCUAUCCCACUCACCUCACCUUAUUCUCAUGGGUUUUCAGUGAUGGUAUUGCUCCUGGAGGAAUGGUUCAGCUGGCUGCAUUUUUGGGGCCCAACCAAGCCCUGCUGUUCUUGGGAUAUCUGCUUCCCUUGGGGCAGGUGGAAGUGCUCCAGACAGGUCACAGGCACCCACACCUGGCUGGGAUGGGAUGGGAAGCAUGUUGAGGACAAGAUCCCAGGAAAGCUUCCACUGUUGAGACUUUGCAGCUUUUCCUAAGGAUGUGCAGCGUGGUUUUUCAGACCAGAUUUGUGCCUGGGUGGCAGGCAGCCCAGAGCUGAUGGGGCUGGUAUUGGCAUCUCCAGCUGGGUCACAUAUCCAGCUGGGAGGGCAGGAAGGAAGAGAGCCUUACAGGAAAAAUUACCAAGAAUUUUAAUGCAGGAAAAGCAGAUUGUCCACAGUCCCAUCUCUGUCAAAAAGGAAAAAAAAAAAAAAAAAAAAAAAAAAAAAAAAGGAAGAGCAGCUUUCUUUUUUCCCCUCCAGAAAGAAGAAAUUUUCAGCCCGUAGCAGACAGAACAGGAAUGUACAGCCUGAAGGGACAAGAGCUGCCAUCCAUUUGAGUAUUUCACCGUGGCAUCUCAUAAUGAGAAUCUUGGGCAGUGUUAAUAAUAUCAGCUCUGCUUGGGCAACCUGUCAGAGAGAUUGGAUGUCAGCUGCAGAGUAAAACACAGCUCCAGCCUAAUUGUGGUCCUCUGGGAGGAGCCUCAUGAAUAUGGAUAAAAAGCUGUAAAGUAUCCUGUGACACCUUGCUGAUUCUUCAAAAUGCAGAUAAUGGUAUGGACACAGUGAAGAGUGAUAAAACGUGUGAUUUCUUUGAAGAGGGAGAAACUUGUGAAUGUCUGAGCUGAGUUGGGCACACAAAAUGAUGUGAGAGUUUUCUACUGAAUAGUAAUAUUCUUUUCCCAGUCUCAUUUACAGUGUCUCCAUGGUAUUUCCAAGAUAUUUCUCUAAAUUUCCUGUGCCAGACUCACAGACUUGCUGAUUAAAUAUUGGGUUGUGCAUGGGAGCACUUUAAAAAGUGUCUGUGUAAACCAAAAAUAAAAUGCUUUUGU
Molecule: long non-coding RNA, 2138 nt
Filed under: Gallus gallus (chicken)
Lineage: Eukaryota; Metazoa; Chordata; Aves; Galliformes; Phasianidae
Description: lncRNA (ENSGALG00010013655.1)
Source: RNAcentral